ACGAACGCUGGCGGCGUGCUUAACACCUGCAAGUCGCACGGAAAGGCCCUGCUUUUGUGGGGUGCUCGAGUGGCGAACGGGUGAGUAACACGUGAGUAACCUGCCCUUGACUUUGGGAUAACUUCAGGAAACUGGGGCUAAUACCGGAUAGGAGCUCCUGCUGCAUGGUGGGGGUUGGAAAGUUUCGGCGGUUGGGGACGGACUCGCGGCUUAUCAGCUUGUUGGUGGGGUAGUGGCUUACCAAGGCUUUGACGGGUAGCCGGCCUGAGAGGGUGACCGGCCACAUUGGGACUGAGAUACGGCCCAGACUCCUACGGGAGGCAGCAGUGGGGAAUAUUGCACAAUGGGCGGAAGCCUGAUGCAGCAACGCCGCGUGCGGGAUGACGGCCUUCGGGUUGUAAACCGCUUUCGCCUGUGACGAAGCGUGAGUGACGGUAAUGGGUAAAGAAGCACCGGCUAACUACGUG
Molecule: ribosomal RNA, 467 nt
Filed under: uncultured bacterium
Lineage: Bacteria
Description: partial 16S ribosomal RNA
Rfam family: Bacterial small subunit ribosomal RNA
Source: RNAcentral